UACGGAGGGUGCAAGCGUUAUCCGGAUUUACUGGGCGUAAAGGGCGCGUAGGCGGCCUUCUAAGUCGAACGUGAAAUCCCCGGGCUCAACCCGGGAACUGCGUCCGAUACUGGAAGGCUUGAAUCCGGGAGAGGGAUGCGGAAUUCCAGGUGUAGCGGUGAAAUGCGUAAAUAUCUGGAGGAACACCGGUGGCGAAGGCGGCAUCCUGGACCGGCAUUGACGCUGAGGCGCGAAAGCCAGGGGAGCAAACGGG
RNAcentral lists this ribosomal RNA (253 nucleotides) under uncultured bacterium. Its description in RNAcentral is "partial 16S ribosomal RNA". It matches the Rfam family "Bacterial small subunit ribosomal RNA", at positions 524 to 776 of the family's 1533-position model. The record is from RNAcentral.